RNAcentral lists this ribosomal RNA (253 nucleotides) under uncultured bacterium. RNAcentral's name for it is "partial 16S ribosomal RNA". It matches the Rfam family "Bacterial small subunit ribosomal RNA", at positions 524 to 776 of the family's 1533-position model. The record is from RNAcentral.
UACGUAGGGUGCGAGCGUUGUCCGGAAUUAUUGGGCGUAAAGGGCUCGUAGGCGGUCUGUCGCGUCGGGAGUGAAAACUCAGGGCUUAACCCUGAGCCUGCUUCCGAUACGGGCAGACUAGAGGUAUGCAGGGGAGAACGGAAUUCCUGGUGUAGCGGUGGAAUGCGCAGAUAUCAGGAGGAACACCGGUGGCGAAGGCGGUUCUCUGGGCCUUACCUGACGCUGAGGAGCGAAAGCGUGGGGAGCAAACAGG